GUACUGACAAUGAGAUUUUGCUCGUCGGUAUGAGAUCAAUGGAAUAAGGUAGAAAAAAAAAAAACUGCUUUCACAUUCGUGCGGCUUUUCUCCGCAUUUAAUUAUCCGUAUUUCAGCAGCUGGAGCCUUCGUUUAUUAGCUUUCAACCUGCGCGCAUCACUUGGCUCCACGUGAUCACACCCAAGAGCCCGCUUCAACUUCAGCCGCACGAAGCCACGUGAAGCCACUCUUUGCAAGUCACUGCCACC
Molecule: long non-coding RNA, 248 nt
Filed under: Elaeis guineensis (African oil palm)
Lineage: Eukaryota; Viridiplantae; Streptophyta; Magnoliopsida; Arecales; Arecaceae
Description: long non-coding RNA (EGUI_LNC066349)
Source: RNAcentral